RNAcentral lists this long non-coding RNA (5756 nucleotides) under Salmo salar (Atlantic salmon). RNAcentral's name for it is "lncRNA (ENSSSAG00000112457.1)". Lineage: Eukaryota; Metazoa; Chordata; Actinopteri; Salmoniformes; Salmonidae. The record is from RNAcentral.
CAACGUUAAAUAUAGCAUGCCGAACAGUUGCUUUUUCUUGUCAUUGUAUACUCUGCAAUUACAGUAAAAGUGCAGACAUCAGGAAGCUGAGCAAAUCUAGGCUCGAGUUAAGGAAUCCUCAUUGGAUCCCUAACCCUGUACCCAUCUUCCUCUACCACUCUCUUCACUGCUUCAGCAUACAACACUUUCUGUACUACUCUGACAACCUCAGCCUGCCUUUCUCUCACUGGACACCUCCGAUCUUCAGUGCCAUGGCACCCCCACAGGUAACACACAACUUUCUCCACCCAUACUUUAUAUUCCUUCCUCUAAUGCCCCCCUGCACACUUCUCACAUCUAGGAAUCUCCAUAAUACACACUGCUGCAACAUGACCAUAAGCUUGGCACCUAAAACACCAUAGUAUUUUCGGAACAAAAUCUCUCAUGGGAUAACUGACACACCCUAACUUGAUCUUGUCGGGCAAAACUCAUCAGGACAAUGUCUUCUCCGUUUCACCAUGCUCUCCACCGGGUCUGCGUCGCACCAAACAGAGGGCAUCACAGACACCAGGAAUCUUCACUUUCAGCUAAUCCUCCUCAACACUUAAUGCCACCCCCGUUAUCAAUCCUUUCAACGGCGCCCUGCUUCGCAGAACAAAGCAAGUCACAGUUCUUGUCCAUAGUCGCGUGGUCCAAAGCGCACACUUCCUCUGGACGGAAGGAACACAAUAAAUCAUCACGAGUCCACUUUGCGUUACUUUCCCCUACUCAACAGUCCCCAACCUCAUCUCCACCCAACCUGACACCACAUAUGGGGUUAGACAGAAUACAAGGAUCUAUUCUCUCCACAAAUCUGACUCCCGCUGGGCCAGUAUCAUCCUUGUCAUCAUUGGGACGAGGCUCAAACUCGGCAAUCCUCACCGCAGGUACUUCAUCCUCACUCUUGUCACGUUCAAUCUCUGAACUACUGGAGCACUUGUCCCUCUUUUUGCAUUUGACACCAACCUUCCUCACCACACCACACCACUUUCCUCUACACUCAGCUCCUUCUCGGCGGUCAUCACUGCACCUGCCACCACAUUUAAUUCAUCCUCACUUUCGUCACGUUCCGUUUUCUUCUUUAGCUCUUCCAAACGCACUGUGUUAUCCUCCAUUCCAUAUUCACAAAAAACAUAUUCCCCUUUUUUUCUUGUCCGCCAUCUACUCCCUCAUCAGAUAUUCCAGAAGUCUUGUGCAAUCCCCCACUACAUAUUUAUUCAUAUGUUCCUUUUUUUUCUUAUCCGCCAUCUUCCUCUUCCGUUCCGCCGCUUGCCCCCUUUCACUGCCAUAUCUCUGGCCUAAUUCAGAUAAUGCAAGAUGUCCAGCGCUUCAAGCCAAGCCUCCUCCUCCACCCUCUCUCGCUCUCUCCCCAGCUGCAAAAUUUCAGUCACAUUUCGCACCCUACACUUCUCUGUCCAAUGCAUGUAAACAACUAUAUCUGGCCCGCUCCAUAGCAAGCUGCUCUAUCCACAUUGAUUGGUGAAGUAAUUUAAUGUGGUGUUAAAUGUAAAGAAAUAUAUAUAUAUAUAACGACUUCAGAGGUUCAAAAAGUAACAGAAAGAAACGAUAUAAACCGUUACUUGUUUUGGUUCAAACUGGUUCAGAACUUUAUUUUGCUGGUUGGAACAGUACUGGAACGGAACCCAAAAAUUUUUUUAUUUUUUUUAAUUUCACCUUUAUUUAACCAGGUAGGCAAGUUGAGAACAAGUUCUCAUUUACAAUUGCGACCUGGCCAAGAUAAAGCAAAGCAGUUUGACACAUACAACAACACAGAGUUACACAUGGAGUAAAACAAACAUACAGUCAAUAAUAUAGUAGAAAAAUAAGUCUAUAUACAAAGUGAGCAAAUGAGGUGAGAUAAGGGAGGUAAAGGCAAAAAAGGCCAUGGUGGCAAAGUAAAUACAAUAUAGGAAGUAAAACACUGGAAUAGUAGAUUUGCAGUGGAAGAAAGUGCAAAGUAGAAAUAUAAAUAAUGGGGUGCAAAGGAGCAAAAUAAAUAAAUACAGUAGGGGAAGUGGUAGUUGUUUGGGCUAAAUUAUAGAUGGGCUAUGUACAGGUGCAGUAAACUGUGAGCUGCUCUGACAGCUGGUGCUUAAAGCUAGUGAGGGAGAUACCGUAAAUUCCGGACUAUAAACCGCAACUUUUCUCCCACGCUUUGAACCACGCGGCUUAAACAAUGACGCGGCUAAUAUAUGGAUUUUUCCCGCUUUCAAAUUUUUUUCUUCCAAAAAAACACAUUCUGUGACGUGCUCAGUUUUUUGGCGGCAUGAAGCUUUCAUUAGACCAAUGAAAUUGCCGAACGGGUUAAUGUCAAACAACUUUUUUGUUUACUGUUUAGAUUAAAUCGAGCGCUCUCAAACUUCCCAUCAUUCUGAUUACGGUAGUCAUUUUGUCACCCUCAUCAUGGCAAAGACACGGAGAAAUGCAUAUGAUGCAGCUUUCAAGUUGAAGGCGAUUGAUCUGGCUGUUGGAAAAGGAAAUAGAGUUGCUGCACGAGAGCUUGGUCUUAAUGAGUCGACGAUAAGACGUUGGAAACAGCAGCGUGAGGAAUUAGCUUACAGCUAAUUUUUUAUUUUUUGUUACAAGCCGUGUUUCGUUAAGCCUAUUUAUUUUUGUUACAAGCCGUGUUUCGUUAAAGCCUAUUUAUUUUUGUUAAAGCCUGUGUAAAGUUCAUUUGUUUCAAUGUACCGGUAGGCACCUGCGGCUUAUAGACAUGUGCGGCUUAUUUAUGUUCAAAAUAAUAUAUUUUUUUUAAUUCAGUGGGUGCGGCUUAUAUUCAGGUGCGCUUAAUAGUCUGGAAAUUACGGUAAGUGUUUCCAGUUUUAGAGAUUUUUGUAGUUCGUUCCAGUCAUUGGCAGCAGAGAACUGGAAGGAGAGGCGGCCGAAGGAGGAAUUGGCUUUGGGGGUGACCAGAGAGAUAUACCUGCUGGAGCGCGUGCUACAGCAGGUGUGGUUUGUGAAGAUGGAGGGAGAGCAUCCUCAUGAGGAGAAGCAGACUGAAACUGCUUGCUGUGCAUCCCAAUGUCCCAAAGAUGGAGAGGAGAGGCAGGGACAAGGGGCUAUGUUAUGGUCCAUCCAGGAGGCAGUGGAGAGGCAGACCAUGCAGAUAGGAACGUCCGCCUGUGGGGCAACGGCCGUAGUGGACGUCCUACAGGCCCUCGGCAUCGUUGUGGCACCCGAGACGGCUGACCGGUGUGUGCGGACGUGCCUGAGGAGGAACGAGGCGCCGCUGCCUGAUUACCUGUUCUCCCGGAGCGAGGCUGGCGCCACACACGCACAGCUGAUAGCUGGGGCGGAGCAGGCUAGUGGUGGGCGCGUGCUGGGUCGCCACUUCCCCCUCCACCCUCGCCGGCGGGUGAGGCUGGUACCCUGGCUGGCACAGUGGAUCCAGAAAGGGGCAGUUCCCGUGGCCACCAUGAACAUGCAGCUGGCAGUGCCAGAGGGAGAGGAGGUUCCCGACGCAUGGCACCACCAACUCAUCUUUGGGGUCGGACCCGACACUGUCUAUAUGACCAAUCCCCUGGAUGUGGUGAGUGAGCGGGAGGUGCAUCAGCGACUCUGCAGUGAAUCUGUGUUGCUGAUACGUCGAGAGGAUGUGCUGCUGAGAUUGACAGCUGACGCCCCUCUGUCUAGCCUAUCGGACGACCAGUCUGACCCACGCUGGAAAGCCCUGGAUGUGGAGGGUCAAUUGAGGCAGAUGAUUCGUGAGGAAGACCAUGAUGAUGAAGAUCAGUUUAGGAUGAGCCAUGUCAUGAUCCCCGCAGCGUACAGUUCAGGUGUGACAGUCUUCGCCCUCAGAGAUUCAGACCAAGGACAGGAGCUUCUCCACGCCCCUGAACUCCCUUUGCUUUGAUAUGGCUGGACAGUGGACACAUCAUUACCAAAGAUCUUGCGGUGAUUGGACAAUGCAUCUUUGACCUUCCCACUAUUGUUACAUUUAUUCGGUGAGGGGAAAUGUUCAGAAACUGGUGAUAGAAAUGUCAUUAAUAGAGCUGACAUGGUUCCUUAUUCUACAGGUAAGAGAGGCUUGGCUGUUCUACAUAAUAUAUUUCUAUCUGAACAUCCCACAAUGUUGCACCCUGCUGAAUGUGCCCCAGGCGUAUUCAGUGAGGUGAAACACUCAAAAACUGAUAUAAACUAUAGAAUUGAUAGAGCUGACUCAAUUUCCUAUUCAGACAACUCAUGAUUCUGAUAUGUCUAUCUAUAAUAUUGGCCAGUCAUGUUGUACACAAUACAUUUUUAUCUGAACGUUCAGUAACGUCACUCCGACCUGAACGAGGCCCUGCUGCUGUACAGUAGGAUAUCCGUCCCUGACAGUAAUACCUUGUUUGAACACUUUUCUGGGUCGUAUUCACUGACAUCAAGCAGAAGAAAAUUAACCGAAACAGGAAGUGACUCCCUGAACUUACCCAAUAAGAAACAUUCAUUUUCCUUUUCCAUUAAAUAACGUUUUGCUACAGUAUGCACUAAUGAAUACGACCCUGAUCUUAUGUGUGUGACGUUAAGAAUAGCCUACUUGAUGUAUGCCCCUGCACCAGUGGAGGCUGCUGAGUGGAGAACGGCCCGUAAUAAUAGCUGGAACUGCGCAAAUAGAAUGGCAUCAAACACAUAGAAACCAUGUGUUUGAUGUAUUUCAUACUAUUCCACUAAUUCCGCUCCAGUCAUUACCAAGGGCCCGUCCCCCCCAAUUAAGGUGCAACCACCCCCUGUGCCCUGCACAUUGAAAUGGUUGCACAGUUUGAAACCCUUUCUACUGCAGCAGGACAAUCAACCCUAAUGCGCCACUCUGUGCAAUACCAGAUAAGCUAAAUCAUGUGGCACUGGAAUGUAAAUGUGAUGUUGUGCUCAUCUACACAGAUACAGAUUAGGUAUAUAUCUGAGUGUGCUCAUGAUUUGCAGUUUUCUGUGGUCAAGAUUUUUGGCUACAACUUAUUUGGCCAGUUUCCCAGACACAGAUUAAGCCUGGUCCUUGACUAAGAAUGAUGUUCAAUGGAGAUUCUCCAUUAACAGUAGCAGUUGAGUCCAGGACUAGGCUUGAUCUGUGUCCAGGAAACCAACCAAAUAUGAAAUUAUGUUUAAAUCAAUCAAUGUGUAUCUGUUGUCGUUCCAGGUUGUGAUGUUUGUCAUGUUAACUCCCUUUUAUUUGUAAGCUAUCAAAAUACAUAAAGAGGGUCGCACGAUCUACAUAUAAAAACUCCCAGUCAUUUCUUGGGUGAAACACCAAGGUUUCUGCAUCACUGUGCCUUCUUCAGGGUAAUGUCAUGAAUGCUUGAACCAGGUUAUGAAGACAAACGGUGCAAUUAGUGUAACCAAUGACAAUAGUGAGGGGUGUGAAUGAAUUGAGUGAAACUGUUAAAUACAGUGCAUUCGGAAAGUAUUCAGAUCCCUUCCCUUUUUCCACAUUUUGUUACAUUACAGCCUUAUUAUAAAAUGGAUUAAAUAAAAAAAUCCUCAUCAAUCUACACAAAAUACCCCAUAAUGACAAAGUGAAAACAGGUUUUUAGAAAUGUUUGCAAAUUUAUUCAAAAUGAAAAACAUAACUUAUUUACAUUAGUAUUCUUUGCUAUGAGACUCAAAUUGAGCUCAGGUGCAUCCUGUUUCCAUUGAUCAUCCUGGAGCUGUAUCUACAACUUGAUUGGGGUCCACCUGUGGUAAAUUCAAUUGAUUGGACAUGAUUUGGAAAGGCACACACCUGUCUAUAUAAGGUCCCACAAUUGACAGUGCAUGUCAGAGCAAAA